RNAcentral lists this transfer RNA (72 nucleotides) under Nematostella vectensis (starlet sea anemone). It matches the Rfam family "tRNA". Rfam says of the family: Transfer RNA (tRNA) molecules are approximately 80 nucleotides in length. Their secondary structure includes four short double-helical elements and three loops (D, anti-codon, and T loops). Lineage: Eukaryota; Metazoa; Cnidaria; Anthozoa; Actiniaria; Edwardsiidae. The record is from Rfam by way of RNAcentral.
GGCUCAGUGGUCUAGUGGUAUGAUUCUCGCUUUGGGUGCGAGAGGCCAUGGGUUGGAUUCCCGUCUGAGCCC